Molecule: ribosomal RNA, 461 nt
Filed under: uncultured bacterium
Lineage: Bacteria
Description: partial 16S ribosomal RNA
Rfam family: Bacterial small subunit ribosomal RNA
Source: RNAcentral
CCUAACGGGUGGCAGCAGUGAGGAAUAUUGGUCAAUGGACGCAAGUCUGAACCAGCCAUGCCGCGUGCAGGAAGACGGCUCUAUGAGUUGUAAACUGCUUUUGUACGAGGGUAAAUCCCGAUACGUGUAUCGGGUUGAAAGUAUCGUACGAAUAAGGAUCGGCUAACUCCGUGCCAGCAGCCGCGGUAAUACGGAGGAUUCAAGCGUUCUCCGGAUUUAUUGGGUUUAAAGGGUGCGUAGGCGGUUCGAUAAGUUAGAGGUGAAAUCCCGGGGCUCAACUCCGGCACUGCCUCUGAUACUGUCGGGCUAGAGUUUAGUUGCGGUAGGCGGAAUGUAUGGUGUAGCGGUGAAAUGCAUAGAGAUCAUACAGAACACCGAUUGCGAAGGCGGCUUACUGGACUGUAACUGACGUUGAGGCUCGAAAGCGUGGGGAGCAAACAGGAUUAGAUACCCGGGUAGUC